This 1566-nucleotide ribosomal RNA is filed under the name Escherichia coli. RNAcentral describes it as "bacterial LSU rRNA". It matches the Rfam family "Bacterial large subunit ribosomal RNA", at positions 1275 to 2826 of the family's 2925-position model. The record is from RNAcentral. Lineage: Bacteria; Pseudomonadati; Pseudomonadota; Gammaproteobacteria; Enterobacterales; Enterobacteriaceae.
GGAGGUAUCAGAAGUGCGAAUGCUGACAUAAGUAACGAUAAAGCGGGUGAAAAGCCCGCUCGCCGGAAGACCAAGGGUUCCUGUCCAACGUUAAUCGGGGCAGGGUGAGUCGACCCCUAAGGCGAGGCCGAAAGGCGUAGUCGAUGGGAAACAGGUUAAUAUUCCUGUACUUGGUGUUACUGCGAAGGGGGGACGGAGAAGGCUAUGUUGGCCGGGCGACGGUUGUCCCGGUUUAAGCGUGUAGGCUGGUUUUCCAGGCAAAUCCGGAAAAUCAAGGCUGAGGCGUGAUGACGAGGCACUACGGUGCUGAAGCAACAAAUGCCCUGCUUCCAGGAAAAGCCUCUAAGCAUCAGGUAACAUCAAAUCGUACCCCAAACCGACACAGGUGGUCAGGUAGAGAAUACCAAGGCGCUUGAGAGAACUCGGGUGAAGGAACUAGGCAAAAUGGUGCCGUAACUUCGGGAGAAGGCACGCUGAUAUGUAGGUGAAGUCCCUCGCGGAUGGAGCUGAAAUCAGUCGAAGAUACCAGCUGGCUGCAACUGUUUAUUAAAAACACAGCACUGUGCAAACACGAAAGUGGACGUAUACGGUGUGACGCCUGCCCGGUGCCGGAAGGUUAAUUGAUGGGGUUAGCGCAAGCGAAGCUCUUGAUCGAAGCCCCGGUAAACGGCGGCCGUAACUAUAACGGUCCUAAGGUAGCGAAAUUCCUUGUCGGGUAAGUUCCGACCUGCACGAAUGGCGUAAUGAUGGCCAGGCUGUCUCCACCCGAGACUCAGUGAAAUUGAACUCGCUGUGAAGAUGCAGUGUACCCGCGGCAAGACGGAAAGACCCCGUGAACCUUUACUAUAGCUUGACACUGAACAUUGAGCCUUGAUGUGUAGGAUAGGUGGGAGGCUUUGAAGUGUGGACGCCAGUCUGCAUGGAGCCGACCUUGAAAUACCACCCUUUAAUGUUUGAUGUUCUAACGUGGACCCGUGAUCCGGGUUGCGGACAGUGUCUGGUGGGUAGUUUGACUGGGGCGGUCUCCUCCUAAAGAGUAACGGAGGAGCACGAAGGUUGGCUAAUCCUGGUCGGACAUCAGGAGGUUAGUGCAAUGGCAUAAGCCAGCUUGACUGCGAGCGUGACGGCGCGAGCAGGUGCGAAAGCAGGUCAUAGUGAUCCGGUGGUUCUGAAUGGAAGGGCCAUCGCUCAACGGAUAAAAGGUACUCCGGGGAUAACAGGCUGAUACCGCCCAAGAGUUCAUAUCGACGGCGGUGUUUGGCACCUCGAUGUCGGCUCAUCACAUCCUGGGGCUGAAGUAGGUCCCAAGGGUAUGGCUGUUCGCCAUUUAAAGUGGUACGCGAGCUGGGUUUAGAACGUCGUGAGACAGUUCGGUCCCUAUCUGCCGUGGGCGCUGGAGAACUGAGGGGGGCUGCUCCUAGUACGAGAGGACCGGAGUGGACGCAUCACUGGUGUUCGGGUUGUCAUGCCAAUGGCACUGCCCGGUAGCUAAAUGCGGAAGAGAUAAGUGCUGAAAGCAUCUAAGCACGAAACUUGCCCCGAGAUGAGUUCUCCCUGACUCCUUGA